GGGGGGUACAGAGGGCUGCUACCACGCAAGUGGAUGCCAAUCCCAAAAACCUCUCUCAGUUCGGAUUGAAGUCUGCAACCCGACUUCAUGAAGCUGGAUUCGCUAGUAAUCGCGCAUCAGCCACGGCGCGGUGAAUACGUUCCCGGGCCUUGUACACACCGCCCGUCAAGCCAUGGGAGCCGGGGGUACCUGAAGUGCGUAACCGCAAGGAGCGCCCUAGGGUAAAACUGGUGACUGGGGCUAAGUCGUAACAAGGUAGCCGUACCGGAAGGUGCGGCUGGAACACCUCCUUUCUGGAG
RNAcentral lists this ribosomal RNA (299 nucleotides) under Bacteroides sp. AM22-3LB. RNAcentral describes it as "partial 16S ribosomal RNA". It matches the Rfam family "Bacterial small subunit ribosomal RNA", at positions 1232 to 1533 of the family's 1533-position model. The record is from RNAcentral. Lineage: Bacteria; Pseudomonadati; Bacteroidota; Bacteroidia; Bacteroidales; Bacteroidaceae.